Molecule: transfer RNA, 77 nt
Filed under: Halobacteriovoraceae bacterium
Lineage: Bacteria; Pseudomonadati; Bdellovibrionota; Bacteriovoracia; Bacteriovoracales; Halobacteriovoraceae
Also listed under: 2 other names
Description: tRNA-Met
Rfam family: tRNA
About the family: Transfer RNA (tRNA) molecules are approximately 80 nucleotides in length. Their secondary structure includes four short double-helical elements and three loops (D, anti-codon, and T loops). Further hydrogen bonds mediate the characteristic L-shaped molecular structure. tRNAs have two regions of fundamental functional importance: the anti-codon, which is responsible for specific mRNA codon recognition, and the 3' end, to which the tRNAs corresponding amino acid is attached (by aminoacyl-tRNA synthetases). tRNAs cope with the degeneracy of the genetic code in two manners: having more than one tRNA (with a specific anti-codon) for a particular amino acid; and 'wobble' base-pairing, i.e. permitting non-standard base-pairing at the 3rd anti-codon position.
Source: RNAcentral
GGCGAUGUAGCUCAGUUGGUUAGAGCGUCGGAUUCAUAUCCCGAAGGUCGGCAGUUCAACUCUGCCCAUCGCUACCA